CGCGGGUGUAGUUCAAUGGUAGAACAUCAGCUUCCCAAGCUGACAGUGCGAGUUCGAUUCUCGUCACCCGCUCCA
RNAcentral lists this transfer RNA (75 nucleotides) under Klenkia terrae. RNAcentral's name for it is "partial tRNA-Glycine (CCC)". It matches the Rfam family "tRNA". From Rfam's summary of the family: Transfer RNA (tRNA) molecules are approximately 80 nucleotides in length. Lineage: Bacteria; Bacillati; Actinomycetota; Actinomycetes; Geodermatophilales; Geodermatophilaceae. The record is from RNAcentral.